GAUGAACGCUGGCGGCGUGCCUACUACAUGCAAGUUGAGCGAAUGGAUCAAGAGCUUGCUCUUAUGAAGUUAGCGGCGGACGGGUGAGUAACACGUGGGUAACCUGCCCAUAAGACUGGGAUAACUCCGGGAAACCGGGGCUAAUACCGGAUAACAUUUUGAACCGCAUGGUUCGAAAUUGAAAGGCGGCUUCGGCUGUCACUUAUGGAUGGACCCGCGUCGCAUUAGCUAGUUGGUGAGGUAACGGCUCACCAAGGCAACGAUUGGUAGCCGAGCUGUGAGGGUAAUCGGUCACGCUGGGACUGAGACACGGCCCGGACUCCGACGGGAGGCAGCAGUAGGGAAUCUUCCGCAAGGGACGAAAGUCUGACUGAGCAACGCCGCGUGGGUGAUGAAGGCUUUCGGGUCGUAAAACUCUGUUGUUAGGGAAGAACAAGUGCUAGUUGAAUAAGCUGGCACCUUGACGGUACCUAACCAGAAAGCCACGGCUAACUACGUGCCAGCCGCCGCCGUAA
Molecule: ribosomal RNA, 515 nt
Filed under: uncultured bacterium
Lineage: Bacteria
Description: partial 16S ribosomal RNA
Rfam family: Bacterial small subunit ribosomal RNA
Source: RNAcentral